Drosophila miranda is the source of this 324-nucleotide long non-coding RNA. RefSeq lists it as uncharacterized. The record is from RefSeq and is a predicted model, not a curated record. The transcript is spliced from 3 exons. Lineage: Eukaryota; Metazoa; Arthropoda; Insecta; Diptera; Drosophilidae.
GAUUAUGGAAGAAUGUGUGCAAUUCAAUGCACCUGUAAUAGCUUUGUUAAAAAGCGCCAGAUGUCGCUUCCGUAGUUAGUGAAAAGAUCGCGAAAGUGCAAGUCGGAAUUUGCAAGCCCGAGUGUGAUUUAAUUAAAAAAAAGAGAUAUAAAGCAUAUAAAAAACAGAUUCCAAACAUUGUACAGAUUAACGUGUGAUGGGACUACGAAAAAAAGUUUAUUCGGUUUAGAGAACAUGCGCCGCACAAAUCGAGCCGUGAAGUAAUAUAUGAUCUCAGUGAAGCUCAAAGCACUGCAGCCCAGAAAGAACCCCACCAGGCCGCCA